This 429-nucleotide ribosomal RNA is filed under the name Bacteroidota bacterium. RNAcentral's name for it is "Bacteroidetes bacterium partial 16S ribosomal RNA". It matches the Rfam family "Bacterial small subunit ribosomal RNA", at positions 355 to 776 of the family's 1533-position model. The record is from RNAcentral. Lineage: Bacteria; Pseudomonadati; Bacteroidota.
UAGGGAAUCUUCCGCAAUGGACGCAAGUCUGACGGAGCAACGCCGCGUGAGUGAAGAAGGAUUUCGGUUCGUAAAACUCUGUUGUUAGAGAAGAACAGCGCAUAGAGUAACUGUUAUGCGUGUGACGGUAUCUAACCAGAAAGCCACGGCUAACUACGUGCCAGCAGCCGCGGUAAUACGUAGGUGGCAAGCGUUGUCCGGAUUUAUUGGGCGUAAAGCGAGCGCAGGCGGUCAAUUAAGUCUGAUGUGAAAGCCCCCGGCUCAACCGGGGAGGGUCAUUGGAAACUGGUUGACUUGAGUGCAGAAGAGGAGAGUGGAAUUCCAUGUGUAGCGGUGAAAUGCGUAGAUAUAUGGAGGAACACCAGUGGCGAAGGCGACUCUCUGGUCUGUAACUGACGCUGAGGCUCGAAAGCGUGAGUAGCAAACAGG